RNAcentral lists this ribosomal RNA (227 nucleotides) under uncultured bacterium. RNAcentral's name for it is "partial 16S ribosomal RNA". It matches the Rfam family "Bacterial small subunit ribosomal RNA", at positions 1275 to 1500 of the family's 1533-position model. The record is from RNAcentral.
CAAAACUACGGUCUCAGUUCAGAUUGCAGGCUGCAACUCGCCUGCAUGAAGUUGGAAUUGCUAGUAAUCGCGAAUCAGAAUGUCGCGGUGAAUACGUUCCCGGGCCUUGUACACACCGCCCGUCACACCAUGAGAGUCGAUAACACCCGAAGCCUGUGAGCUAACCUUUUAGGAGGCAGCAGUCGAAGGUGGGGUUGAUGAUUGGGGUGAAGUCGUAACAAGGUACC